ACACAAGACUACAUUGAACCAAAAAGUUUUGUGGUGGAGUAUCGUGGAGUUUUGUCUCUGAGCGACAGUGCAGAUGACAAAAACAGCAAAUAUGCAUUUGAGUUCAUGUGGAAUGGGAAGCACUAUUGCAUAGAUGCUUCAAAAGAGGACGGAACACUGGGACGACUAGUGAAUGAUGAUCACAUACAUCCCAACUGCAAAGUCAAGAGGAUAAUGGUCAAAGGAAGGCCACACUUGUGUCUAUUUUCCAUCAAGGAAAUCUUUCCAGGCGAGGAGAUAACAUUUAACUAUGGUGAUUCCUCUUGGCCAUGGCGCUCAGUGGCACCCUGUGAAGAACCAUCUGACCCAAACUUGACGAAAAGUGAGCCAGUCUCAGAAAAGG
Gadus morhua (Atlantic cod) is the source of this 382-nucleotide long non-coding RNA. RefSeq lists it as uncharacterized. Lineage: Eukaryota; Metazoa; Chordata; Actinopteri; Gadiformes; Gadidae. The transcript has 3 exons. The record is from RefSeq and is a predicted model, not a curated record.